GGACGCAGUAGGAUAGGCGAAGCGUGCUGUUGGAGUGCACGUCCAAGCAGUAAGGCUGAGUGUUAGGCAAAUCCGGCACUCAUAAGGCUGAGCUGUGAUGGGGAGAGGAAAUUGUUUCCUCGAGUCGUUGAUUUCACACUGCCGAGAAAAGCCUCUAGAUAGAUAACAGGUGCCCGUACCGCAAACCGACACAGGUAGUCAAGAUGAGAAUUCUAAGGUGAGCGAGCGAACUCUCGUUAAGGAACUCGGCAAAAU
RNAcentral lists this ribosomal RNA (255 nucleotides) under Staphylococcus epidermidis. RNAcentral's name for it is "partial 23S ribosomal RNA". It matches the Rfam family "Bacterial large subunit ribosomal RNA", at positions 1470 to 1723 of the family's 2925-position model. Lineage: Bacteria; Bacillati; Bacillota; Bacilli; Caryophanales; Staphylococcaceae. The record is from RNAcentral.